UGUGUAGGCGGUCUGGUAAGUUGGAUGUGAAAAGCCCGGGCUUAACCUGGGAGGUGCAUCCAAUACUGUUGGACUAGAGUGCAGGAGAGGAAAGCGGAAUUCCUAGUGUAGCGGUGAAAUGCGUAGAUAUUAGGAGGAACACCAGUGGCGAAGGCGGCUUUCUGGACUGUAACUGACGCUGAGGCACGGAAGCGUGGGGAGCAAACA
This 207-nucleotide ribosomal RNA is filed under the name uncultured bacterium. RNAcentral's name for it is "partial 16S ribosomal RNA". It matches the Rfam family "Bacterial small subunit ribosomal RNA", at positions 568 to 774 of the family's 1533-position model. The record is from RNAcentral.